AGUCGAGCGGAUCGAUGGGAGCUUGCUCCCUGAGAUCAGCGGCGGACGGGUGAGUAACACGUGGGUAACCUGCCUGUAAGACUGGGAUAACUCCGGGAAACCGGGGCUAAUACCGGAUAACUCAGUUCCUCGCAUGAGGAACUGUUGAAAGGUGGCUUCUCCUUCCACUUUCCGAUUGACCCCCCGCCCCAUAACUUGUUUGUGAAGGAACCGCUCCACCAGGCCACCAUUCCUAACCCAACUGAAAAGGUGAUCCGCCACCCUGGGACUGAAACCCCGCCCAGAAUCCCACCGGAAGCCACCAUAAGGAAUCCUCCGCAAUGGACCAAAGUCCGACCGAACCACGCCCCCUGAAUUAAGAAAGGUUUCCGAACCUAAAACUCCGGUGGUAAGGAAGAACCAGUGCCGGUCGAAUAAGGCGGCCCCUUGACCGUUCCUUACCCGAAAGCCACCGGCUAACUACCUGGCCACCGCCGCCGUUAUACCUAAGUUGCCAGCCGUGUCCGGAA
This 509-nucleotide ribosomal RNA is filed under the name Bacillus sp. (in: firmicutes). RNAcentral describes it as "bacterial SSU rRNA". It matches the Rfam family "Bacterial small subunit ribosomal RNA", at positions 60 to 550 of the family's 1533-position model. The record is from RNAcentral. Lineage: Bacteria; Bacillati; Bacillota; Bacilli; Caryophanales; Bacillaceae.